GAUGAAGAACGUAGCGAAAUGCGAUAAGUAGUGUGAAUUGCAGAAUUCAGUGAAUCAUCGAAUCUUUGAACGCACAUUGCGCCCCUUGGUAUUCCAUGGGGCAUGCCUGUUCGAGCGUCAUUUGUACCUUCAAGCUUUGCUUGGUGUUGGGUGUUUGUCUCGCCUUUGCGUGUAGACUCGCCUUAAAAUAAUUGGCAGCCGGCGUAUUGAUUUCGGAGCGCAGUACAUCUCGCGCUUUGCACUCAUAACGACAGCGUCCAAAAGUACAUUUUACACUCUUGACCUCGGAUCAGGUAGGGAUACCCGCUGAACUUAAGCAUCUCAAUAAGCGGAGGA
This 336-nucleotide unclassified non-coding RNA is filed under the name soil metagenome. RNAcentral's name for it is "partial contains 5.8S ribosomal RNA, internal transcribed spacer 2, and large subunit ribosomal RNA". The stretch from base 1 to 120 matches the Rfam family "5.8S ribosomal RNA", at positions 35 to 154 of the family's 154-position model. The record is from RNAcentral.